This 222-nucleotide unclassified non-coding RNA is filed under the name uncultured Thelephoraceae. RNAcentral's name for it is "sequence contains ITS2". Lineage: Eukaryota; Fungi; Basidiomycota; Agaricomycetes; Thelephorales; Thelephoraceae. The record is from RNAcentral.
GAACACCUCAACUCCUCAUGCUUCGCCAUGAUGAGCUUGGACUUCUGGAGGUUUUGCUGGCCUGCGGUCGGCUCCUCUCAAAUGGAUCAGCUCGCCAGUGUUUGGUGGCAUCACGGGUGUGAUAACUAUCUACGCUCGUGGCCGUCUGCCAGGUAACCUUCGGCAACGGAGGUUCGCUGGGGCUAACAAAAGUCUUUCCUCAGCGGAGACAGCUUUUUGAAC